GGGUAGUGGUGGUGGAGCAGGAGGGGUAAGAGGAAGGGGGGGAGGGUUGUUAGGAUUUACGGGGCGUACAGGGAGCGUAGGCGGUUGGAGAAGCCCUCGGUGAAAUCGGGAGGCUGAACCUGGAAAGUGCAGAGGGGACUGGUCAGCUAGAGGAUGGGAGAGGAGCGCGGAAUUCCCGGUGUAGCGGUGAAAUGCGUAGAGAUCGGGAGGAAGGCCGGUGGCGAAGGCGGCGCUCUGGAACAUUUCUGACGCUGAGGCUCGAAAGCGUGGGGAGCAAACAGGAUUAGAUACCUAGUAGUC
This 300-nucleotide ribosomal RNA is filed under the name uncultured Staphylothermus sp. RNAcentral describes it as "bacterial SSU rRNA". The stretch from base 53 to 300 matches the Rfam family "Bacterial small subunit ribosomal RNA", at positions 547 to 795 of the family's 1533-position model. The record is from RNAcentral. Lineage: Archaea; Thermoproteati; Thermoproteota; Thermoprotei; Desulfurococcales; Desulfurococcaceae.